This 484-nucleotide ribosomal RNA is filed under the name uncultured bacterium. RNAcentral describes it as "partial 16S ribosomal RNA". It matches the Rfam family "Bacterial small subunit ribosomal RNA", at positions 30 to 507 of the family's 1533-position model. The record is from RNAcentral.
AUUGAACGCUGGCGGCAGGCCUAACACAUGCAAGUCGAGCGGAUGAAGGGAGCUUGCUCCUGGAUUCAGCGGCGGACGGGUGAGUAAUGCCUAGGAAUCUGCCUGGUAGUGGGGGAUAACGUCCGGAAACGGGCGCUAAUACCGCAUACGUUCUGAGGGAGAAAGUGGGGGAUCUUCGGACCUCACGCUAUCAGAUGAGCCUAGGUCGGAUUAGCUAGUUGGUGGGGUAAAGGCCUACCAAGGCGACGAUCCGUAACUGGUCUGAGAGGAUGAUCAGUCACACUGGAACUGAGACACGGUCCAGACUCCUACGGGAGGCAGCAGUGGGGAAUAUUGGACAAUGGGCGAAAGCCUGAUCCAGCCAUGCCGCGUGUGUGAAGAAGGUCUUCGGAUUGUAAAGCACUUUAAGUUGGGAGGAAGGGCAGUAAGUUAAUACCCUGCUGUUUUGACGUUACCAACAGAAUAAGCACCGGCUAACUUCGUG